CCUGUCUGAAUAUGGGGGGACCAUCCUCCAAGGCUAAAUACUCCUGACUGACCGAUAGUGAACCAGUACCGUGAGGGAAAGGCGAAAAGAACCCCGGCGAGGGGAGUGAAAAAGAACCUGAAACCGUGUACGUACAAGCAGUGGGAGCACCUUCGGGUGUGACUGCGUACCUUUUGUAUAAUGGGUCAGCGACUUAUAUUCUGUAGCAAGGUUAACCGUAUAGGGGAGCCGCAGGGAAACCGAGUCUUAACUGGGCGUUAAGUUGCAGGGUAUAGACCCGAAACCCGGUGAUCUAGCCAUGGGCAGGUUGAAGGUUGGGUAACACUAACUGGAGGACCGAACCGACUAAUGUUGAAAAAUUAGCGGAUGACUUGUGGCUGGGGGUGAAAGGCCAAUCAAACCGGGAGAUAGCUGGUUCUCCCCGAAAGCUAUUUAGGUAGCGCCUCGUGAACUCAUCUUCGGGGGUAGAGCACUGUUUCGGCUAGGGGGUCAUCCCGACUUACCAACCCGAUGCAAACUACGAAUACCGAAGAAUGUUAUCACGGGAGACACACGGCGGGUGCUAACGUCCGUCGUGAAGAGGGAAACAACCCAGACCGCCAGCUAAGGUCCCAAAGUCAUGGUUAAGUGGGAAACGAUGUGGGAAGGCACAGACAGCCAGGAUGUUGGCUUAGAAGCAGCCAUCAUUUAAAGAAAGCGUAAUAGCUCACUGGUCGAGUCGGCCUGCGCGGAAGAUGUAACGGGGCUAAACCAUGCACCGAAGCUGCGGCAGCGACACUAUGUGUUGUUGGGUAGGGGAGCG
This 802-nucleotide ribosomal RNA is filed under the name Klebsiella pneumoniae. RNAcentral describes it as "partial 23S ribosomal RNA". It matches the Rfam family "Bacterial large subunit ribosomal RNA", at positions 433 to 1238 of the family's 2925-position model. Lineage: Bacteria; Pseudomonadati; Pseudomonadota; Gammaproteobacteria; Enterobacterales; Enterobacteriaceae. The record is from RNAcentral.